RNAcentral lists this ribosomal RNA (87 nucleotides) under Shewanella putrefaciens. The record is from RNAcentral. Lineage: Bacteria; Pseudomonadati; Pseudomonadota; Gammaproteobacteria; Alteromonadales; Shewanellaceae.
UGAUCCCAUCCCGAACUCAGAAGUGAAACGCAAUCGCGCCGAUGGUAGUGUGGGGUCUCCCCAUGUGAGAGUAGGUCAUCGCCAAGC